Molecule: ribosomal RNA, 420 nt
Filed under: uncultured eukaryote
Lineage: Eukaryota
Description: bacterial SSU rRNA
Rfam family: Eukaryotic small subunit ribosomal RNA
Source: RNAcentral
CAAUAGCGUAUAUUAAAGUUGUUGCAGUUAAAAAGCUCGUAGUUGGAUUUCUGGUGGGAGCACGGGUCGGCCCUCACGGGUUGUACUGUUGUUGCGUCCCGCCGUUUCGGAGGGAAUGGUCUCGCUAUUAAGUUAGCGUGAUCGGGAACUCUGUCGUUUACUGUGAAAAAUUAGAGUGUUCAAAGCAGGCCUUCGCUGUGAAUACAUUAGCAUGGAAUAAUAAGAUAGGACUGUAGUGCUAUUUUGUUGGUUUGCGUACUAUGGUAAUGAUUAAUAGGGAUAGUCGGGGGCAUUAGUACUUAACUGUCAGAGGUGAAAUUCUCCGAUUUGUUAAAGACUAACUUAUGCGAAAGCAUUUGCCAAGGAUGUUUUCAUUAAUCAAGAACGAAAGUUAGGGGAUCAAAGACGAUUAGAUACCAU